Molecule: ribosomal RNA, 460 nt
Filed under: uncultured bacterium
Lineage: Bacteria
Description: partial 16S ribosomal RNA
Rfam family: Bacterial small subunit ribosomal RNA
Source: RNAcentral
CCUACGGGUGGCAGCAGUGAGGAAUAUUGGUCAAUGGACGCAAGCCUGAACCAGCAAUGCCGCGUGCAGGAAGACGGCUCUAUGAGUUGUAAACUGCUUUUGUACGAGGGUAAACGCAGAUACGCGUAUCUGUCUGAAAGUAUCGUACGAAUAAGGAUCGGCUAACUUCGUGCCAGCAGCCGCGGUAAUACGGAGGAUUCAAGCGUUAUCCGGAUUUAGUGGGUUUAAAGGGUGCGUAGGCGGUCGGAUAAGUUAGAGGUGAAAUCCCGAGGCUCAACUUCGGAAUUGCCUCUGAUACUGUUCGGCUAGAGAGUAGUUGCGGUAGGCGGAAUGUAUGGUGUAGCGGUGAAAUGCUUAGAGAUCAUGCAGAACACCGAUUGCGAAGGCAGCUUACCAAGCUACUUCUGACGUUGAGGCACGAAAGCGUGGGGAGCAAACAGGAUUAGAUACCCGUGUAGUC